This 395-nucleotide ribosomal RNA is filed under the name uncultured bacterium. RNAcentral describes it as "partial 16S ribosomal RNA". It matches the Rfam family "Bacterial small subunit ribosomal RNA", at positions 523 to 918 of the family's 1533-position model. The record is from RNAcentral.
AUACGUAGGGUGCAAGCGUUAAUCGGAAUUACUGGGCGUAAAGCGUGCGCAGGCGGUUUUGUAAGACAGAGGUGAAAUCCCCGGGCUCAACCUGGGAACUGCCAUUGUGACUGCAAGGCUGGAGUGCGGCAGAGGGGGAUGGAAUUCCGCGUGUAGCAGUGAAAUGCGUAGAUAUGCGGAGGAACACCGAUGGCGAAGGCAAUCCCCGGGGCCUGCACUGACGCUCAUGCACGAAAGCGUGGGGAGCAAACAGGAUUAGAUACCCGGGUAGUCCACGCCCUAAACGAUGUCAUCUGGUUGUGGGGGAUUUAUUUUCUCAGUAACGAAGCUAACGCAUGAAGUUGACCGCCUGGGGAGUACGGCCGCAAGGUUAAAACUCAAAUGAAUUGACGGGG